Long non-coding RNA from Ahaetulla prasina, 932 nucleotides. RefSeq lists it as uncharacterized. NCBI's taxonomy places the organism in Eukaryota, Metazoa, Chordata, Lepidosauria, Squamata, Colubridae. The transcript has 5 exons. The record is from RefSeq and is a predicted model, not a curated record.
GAGCCAGUGGUGAAAUCCUCCGUGGUUUGCCACCCGUUUGCUGCCUAUGCAUGGACAGUGCGCACCAAACGCAAGCUUUGCGCAGAAAAAGGAGGCUUAAGAAGUGGUGGGUUGCUACCGGUUUGCCCGAUUUGGGCGAACCAGUAGCAGCAGCGAUGGGAGGCUCCACCCACAUGCCCAGACAUCAUCAAAUACGCUCUGCGCAUGCGCAGAAGGGGCGCACAUACGAGCGAACCAGUAGCAAAGAAUAACAGAAUGACAUAGUUGGAAGGGGCCUUGGAGGUCUUCUAGUCAACCCCAAAGCUCAAGCAAGAGACCCUAUAACAUUUUGGACAAAUGGCUGUCCAGUUUCUUCUUAAAAACCUCCAGUGAAAGAGCAUCCACAACUUCUGAAGAUUUGAACAAUUCAGAGGAUAUGUUAUCAGUCCUUGGCUUUUGCCUUUGGGGAUUGCACUUUUUGGGUGAAGGAGGAAAGUGCAAAAGUUGGCUUGAAACUCAACAUUAAGAAAACUAAUAUCAUGACAUCCAGCCCUCUCAAUGCCUGGUAAAUAGAUGGGGAAGAAAUGGAGGUAGUGACAGAUUUUAUUUUCCUGGGCUCCAAGAUCAUCGCAGAUGGGCACUGCAGCCAAGAAAUUAAAAGAUGCUUGCUCCUGGGGAGGAAAGCUAUGGCAAAGCUAGAGAGCAUACUAAAAAGCAGAGACAUCACCCUGCCAACGAAAGUGCAUAUAGUCAAGGCUAUGGUUUUCCAGUUGCAAUGUAUGGCUGUAAAAGUUGGACCGUAAGAAAGGCUGAGCACCAAAGAAUUGAGGCCUUUGAACUAUGGUGCUGGAGAAGACUCCUGCGAGUCCCUUGGACUGCAAGGCGAUCAAACCGACGCAGCCAUCAACGUAUUUCCUUUUGGUGUAAGCAACACUGAGCAGACCGCAGAAAAG